CGUACUCCUGCAGUCGGUGUCCUGCUCCUGACUCGCCGUACGCUGGAGAAGGUUUCAGGUUCUGGAGCUGACUCCGGAUCUGCUGCAGUCGAACUUCUUUACUGCUGCAAACAACCACAGAACACAGCCAGCAGACUAAAGAGCUAAAAACAUUUGGGAAAUAAAAGAGCCGGAGAUCACCGGCCCGUAAGUGAGAACACUGUACACGAUGGGGUUGAACUGGAUCAUCUCAGUACUGGAAUCCAGAAGGAGUUCAGAUGAGACACACACACACACACACAGAGACCUGUGUGACCCUGAAGCUCUACCUCUGGAUGGAGUUCCUGGUCACUUGGAGAGCACACGGUGGUGCUGAGGAUGGUUCAAAUGAAUGAACAGCCUGAAGAUCCAUGAGGUUUGCUGUGGAGGCUUCGAGUCAAGACCCAUGAAGAUGGAUUUGGACCGUGAUUAAUAUGAACAGCUUUACACAAGUGUCCAUCAAUAAUGAACGGACAUUCGUUGUUAAGAAUGGGGUUUUUUUUGGAAUAAGUUUCUUCCUUACAAGGGUUUUUUUUGUGGCCCCUGAUUUGCUCAUUAUGGAUAAAGUAACAAGGACCUAUUUAUUCAAUUUCUUUCUUUACAGUUGUUUUGGGACAAUUGUAAAAACCGCUGUCCAAAUAACAGUGAACUUUUUCAUACUCGGAUCAUAGCAGCUGUGGGAGAACUUGAGUCGAGAACUUGAGAUAAAAAUAAAUGAGCUUCUGUCAAAUUACUCUGAUUUGAACCAAUUUAGGUUGCAAAGGGGGCGGAAAAUGUCCACGAAAUUCCAGAAACUUUUCAUAGAAACUUCAUUUGGGGAAUUUUGAAAAUAAUCCAAGUUGGAAACUUACCAGGAAUUUAUAAAGGAGUGGAGACUCGCUCUGUUUACAAGAAAGUACUUUAUUUAUCUACGUUUACACACUAUCAGAGUUCCUCACACUUCUGGAAUGUGUCCUGGAAGACUUCGUUUCUAAGCGUGUCAAGCUCCUUCUGCGAAUGGUGUCAAAACGGCGACCUUUGAGCUGCAUCUUUAUCUUCAGGAAAAGGGUGGAGUCUGCAUGAGCCAAAUCUGGGGAAAGGAGACGUGGUUACACAAGCUACUGUUGACCCUCUGUGGAAGGCUUGGAAACCAACCGAAUGGUUGAAAGGUCAUGGAGGACCAAAGUUUCUCCAAAACUAACGUGCAUCUUCGCUGGAACUAAGCAGAACAAAGGCUGUUUCAGCAAGACCUCCAUGUAGACCACGUUGGAGUGAAAAUCGCAAAGCCCCGACCUUCUCAACACUAUUGAACACCUUGUGGAUGGACUGGAACACCGAGUGCAGCCCAGACUUCCUCACUGCCUGAUCUCAAUACAGAUCUAGUAGCUGAAUAAUCACAAAUCGGAGUAACCAUACCACAAAAUCGACGAUAAGAUGUUCGACAAAACAUGAGAUCUUAAGGGUGAAUCUGAAAAGUUCUCCCAAUCCACCAGACAUGCAUGGAGAAUAUGAGGCAUUUAAAGUAUGGAAUUUCCAUUUGAAGGUUCUGAAUUUCUG
Molecule: long non-coding RNA, 1554 nt
Organism: Silurus meridionalis
Lineage: Eukaryota; Metazoa; Chordata; Actinopteri; Siluriformes; Siluridae
Exons: 4
Source: RefSeq, a predicted model, not a curated record